Molecule: ribosomal RNA, 270 nt
Filed under: uncultured archaeon
Lineage: Archaea
Description: partial 16S ribosomal RNA
Rfam family: Archaeal small subunit ribosomal RNA
Source: RNAcentral
CAGCACCUCAAGUGGUCAGGAUGAUUAUUGGGCCUAGAGCAUCCGUAGCCGGCGCUGUAAGUUUUCGGUUAAAUCUGUACGCUCAACGUACAGGCUGCCGGGAAUACUGCAGCGCUAGGGAGUGGGAGAGGUAGACGGUACUCGGUAGGAAGGGGUAAAAUCCUUUGAUCUAUUGAUGACCACCUGUGGCGAAGGCGGUCUACCAGAACACGUCCGACGGUGAGGGAUGAAAGCUGGGGGAGCAAACCGGAUUAGAGACCCGAGUAGUCC